RNAcentral lists this ribosomal RNA (623 nucleotides) under Ramaria stuntzii. RNAcentral describes it as "eukaryotic LSU rRNA". It matches the Rfam family "Eukaryotic large subunit ribosomal RNA", at positions 65 to 656 of the family's 3401-position model. Lineage: Eukaryota; Fungi; Basidiomycota; Agaricomycetes; Gomphales; Gomphaceae. The record is from RNAcentral.
CUAACCAGGAUUCCCCUAGUAACGGCGAGUGAAGCGGGAUGAGCUCAAAUUUGUAAUCUGGCGGUCUUUGGCCGUCCGAGUUGUAGUCUGGAGAAGCGUUUUCCGUGUCGGACCGUGUACAAGUCCCUUGGAACGGGGCGUCGCAGAGGGUGAGAAUCCCGUCUUUGACACGGAUCGCCGAUGCUUUGUGAUGCGCUCUCAAAGAGUCGAGUUGUUUGGGAAUGCAGCUCAAAAUGGGUGGUAAAUUCCAUCUAAAGCUAAAUAUGGGCGAAAGACCGAUAGCGAACAAGUACCGUGAGGGAAAGAUGAAAAGCACUUUGGAAAGAGAGUUAAACAGUACGUGAAAUUGUUGAAAGGGAAACGCUUGAAGUCAGUCGCGUCUCCUGGGACUCAGCCUUGGCUUUCAUCGGCCCUGGCGUACUUCCCGGGGUGACGGGCCAGCAUCGAUUUUGACUGUCGGAGAAAGGCUUUGGGAAUGUGGCAUCCCCAUUGUGGGAUGUGUUAUAGCCCUGGGUCGCAUGCGACGGUUGGGAUCGAGGAUCGCAGCACGCCUUCAUUGGCCGGGGUUCGCCCACGUAACGUGCUUAGGAUGCUGGCGUAAUGGCUUUAAGCGACCCGUCUUG